GACGAACGCUGGCGGCGUGCUUAACACAUGCAAGUCGAACGGAAAGGCCCUGCUUUUGUGGGGUGCUCGAGUGGCGAACGGGUGAGUAACACGUGAGUAACCUGCCCUUGACUUUGGGAUAGCUUCAGGAAACUGGGGCUAAUACCGGAUAGGAGCUCCUGCUGCAUGGUGGGGGUUGGAAAGUUUCGGCGGUUGGGGAUGGACUCGCAGCUUAUCAGCUUGUUGGUGGGGUAGUGGCUUACCAAGGCUUUGACGGGUAGCCGGCCUGAGAGGGUGACCGGCCACAUUGGGACUGAGAUACGGCCCAGACUCCUACGGGAGGCAGCAGUGGGAAAUAUUGCACAAUGGGCGGAAGCCUGAUGCAGCAACGCCGCGUGCGGGAUGACGGCCUUCGGGUUGUAAACCGCUUUCGCCUGUGACGAAGCGUGAGUGACGGUAAUGGGUAAAGAAGCACCGGCUAACUACGUG
This 468-nucleotide ribosomal RNA is filed under the name uncultured bacterium. RNAcentral describes it as "partial 16S ribosomal RNA". It matches the Rfam family "Bacterial small subunit ribosomal RNA", at positions 28 to 507 of the family's 1533-position model. The record is from RNAcentral.